Molecule: ribosomal RNA, 490 nt
Filed under: uncultured bacterium
Lineage: Bacteria
Description: bacterial SSU rRNA
Rfam family: Bacterial small subunit ribosomal RNA
Source: RNAcentral
AUUGAACGCUGGCGGCAUGCCUAACACAUGCAAGUCGAACGGCAGCACGGGAGCUUGCUCCUGGUGGCGAGUGGCGGACGGGUGAGUAAUGCAUAGGAAUCUGCCCAGUAGCGGGGGACAACUUGGGGAAACUCAAGCUAAUACCGCAUACGCCCUACGGGGAAAGCGGGGGACCGUUCGGGCCGUCGCACUAUUGGAUGAGCCUAUGUCAGAUUAGCUUGUUGGUGGGGUAAAGGCCGUACCAAGGCGACGAUCUGUAGCUGGUCUGAGAGGACGAUCAGCCACACUGGGACUGAGACACGGCCCAGACUCCUACGGGAGGCAGCAGUGGGGAAUAUUGCACAAUGGCGAAAGCCUGAUGCAGCAAUGCCGCGUGUGUGAAGAAGGCCCUGCGGGUUUGUAAAAGCACUUUUCAGUAGGGAGGAAACAGUAGCCGGUUAAUAUCCGGUUGCCUUGACGUUACCUACAGAAGAAGCACCCGGUCUAAACU